RNAcentral lists this ribosomal RNA (496 nucleotides) under uncultured bacterium. Its description in RNAcentral is "partial 16S ribosomal RNA". It matches the Rfam family "Bacterial small subunit ribosomal RNA", at positions 29 to 507 of the family's 1533-position model. The record is from RNAcentral.
AUGAACGCUGGCGGCGUGCCUAAUACAUGCAAGUCGAGCGAACAGACGAGGAGCUUGCUCCUCUGACGUUAGCGGCGGACGGGUGAGUAACACGUGGAUAACCUACCUAUAAGACUGGGAUAACUUCGGGAAACCGGAGCUAAUACCGGAUAAUAUAUUGAACCGCAUGGUUCCAUAGUGAAAGACGGUUUUGCUGUCACUUAUAGAUGGAUCCGCGCCGCAUUAGCUAGUUGGUAAGGUAACGGCUUACCAAGGCAACGAUGCGUAGCCGACCUGAGAGGGUGAUCGGCCACACUGGAACUGAGACACGGACCAGACUCCUACGGGAGGCAGCAGUAGGGAAUCUUCCGCAAUGGGCGAAAGCCUGACGGAGCAACGCCGCGUGAGUGAUGAAGGUCUUCGGAUCGUAAAACUCUGUUAUUAGGGAAGAACAAAUGUGUAAGUAACUAUGCACGUCUUGACGGUACCUAAUCAGAAAGCCACGGCUAACUACGUG